UCUACGGGUGGCAGCAGUGGGGAAUAUUGCACAAUGGGGGAAACCCUGAUGCAGCAACGCCGCGUGGGUGAAGAAGUAUUUCGGUAUGUAAAGCCCUAUCAGCAGGGAAGAGAAUGACGGUACCUGACUACGAAGCCCCGGCUAACUACUUGCCAGCAGCCGCGGUAAUACGUAGGGGGCAAGCGUUAUCCGGAUUUACUGGGUGUAAAGGGAGCGUAGACGGUUUGGCAAGUCUGAAGGGAAAGCCGGCGGCUCAACUGCGGAACGGCUUUGGAAACUGGGUAACUGGAGUGCUGGAGAGGUAAGGGGAAUUCCUGGGGGAGCGGUGAAAGGCGGAGAGAUCAGGAGGAAAACCAGCGGAGAAGGCGGGUUACGGGACAGGAACUGACGUUGAGGAUCGAAAGCGUGGGGAGCAAACAGGAUUAGAUACCCUAGGAGUC
RNAcentral lists this ribosomal RNA (440 nucleotides) under uncultured bacterium. Its description in RNAcentral is "partial 16S ribosomal RNA". It matches the Rfam family "Bacterial small subunit ribosomal RNA", at positions 338 to 795 of the family's 1533-position model. The record is from RNAcentral.